UGUCAAGUUUGACCUGGGCCUUUUGCGAUUGGAUGGGUCUUCCAAGGUAAGCUCCUAGAACGAGCAUGUUAAUUUCUUAGAAGCUUGGACCUAAAAGCUCUGCCUUCAGGUUUCUGUUCCCCUUUUGGUAAGGUUACUGGUGUGUGUUAGGGCAUGAGAUACAAGAUGGAAGUCGGGGGGAGCUGGGGAUGAAGGUGCAUUCUCUCUGUCCUUCUUAGCCUCCCUUUUCUCUGUUGGCACAUCUGCUUCCUUCUCCUUACAGAAGGCUGGCCAUUCCUAAGAAGGCUUUGGAAUACACCUGAUUCCACACUCUCAGCUCUGGGUCCCGCCCUAAACAUUCUUGAUUGGCGAGAAACUCUGCCAUCUUGUUCCCAGAGAAGACAGCUGAUUGGUUUGCCUGGAUGACGUGUGUACCUUUUGUCCAAUCAGCACUGGCUAGGGAUGGGUCUUUAUGACCAGCUGCUGCCUAAGCAGAUUUUCUGAAAGAAUGGGAUUCCACAGAGAUUGGGAGAUGGGCACUGCUCUAUGGGGAGGAGGGAAACUGGUACCCAAGAGUCAUGUCUGCCACUUAAGGAUAUAGGAAUGAGUAGAAACAGGGCAUGAAACGGCCUCCGAGCCUUGAGAGUAGAUUGUAACCUUGGACGCAGCUGCAGGACUUUGACAGCUGUUGAUGGCUUGCACCAGAGCAGUUCAACCGGAACCUCGAAUUCUGGUGGGGCUCAGGCAUCAGUAUUCUUUUAAAAAAUCAUUCCCAGCGAUUCUAAUGCACAACCAGGAUUGAAAACUCUUAGGGGACAUGUCCAGGGACACAGUUGUCUAUGAAAACCCACAAGUGAAGAGGCCACUGGUGAAUUUCCCAUCCUUGGUGGUUGUAUCUUACACUUUGGCAUUUUUCAGACCCAGUUUAACAUGAAAAGAGAUGAGGAGUUCCCGUGGUGGCUCAGCGGUAACAAACCCAACUAGUGUCCAUGAGGACGCAGGCUCCAUCCCUGGCCUGGCUCAGUGGGUUAAGGAUCUGGCAUUGCUGUGGGCUAUGGUGUAGGUCACAGACGCUGCUCGGAUCUCUCAUUGCUGUGGCUGUGGCGUAGGCCGGUAGCUGCAUCUCUGGGUUGACCCCUGCCUGGGAACCUCCAUAUGCCGCGGGAGCGGCCCAAGAAAUAGCAACAACAACAACAACAGCAAAAGACAAAAAACAAAAAACAAAAAACAAACAAAAAAAAAAAGAAAUAGUUAUCAAGUGCUUAUUCUAAGUCAGGACCUGGUCUGUGCGACAUCCCCCCUGCCCCAGAGAUUUCUUGGUCCGUGAAGGAGGUGGAGUAAUUAUCUGCAUAUGGUGCUGCGUUUAUGAGAAGCCAGAGGCCACUGGGCACCUAGCGGAGCCUGGUGGGUCAGGCCUGGCCCCUGCAGAGCAGGCAUCUAGGCUGAAACCUAGAGCUGUGUGCAGGGAGGCGGCGCGGAGGUCUGGGGUUGAGGGGCUGCUCACGCCCAGGCCCGUCCCGCUUGCUGGUCAGCAGAUCCAUCCUGGGCCUGAGCCCUUGAAGUCCCUUCCUGCCUCUCAGCCCGCUCCUGUUGAAAUCCCCGUGAGAGCUGGUGAUGCCCACCUACGCAUCUGCCAGGAGCGUGGCGCUCCUACCGCCCUGGGGCUGCCCUCCUUGAAACAGGAUGGAGCUGAGACCGGGCUCCUGCCCUUGGUGGGGGGCACAGCUGGGAUAGGAGAGCCGAGUUGUGAAUGAACAUCAUGUUAGGAUGUGUCGCCUUUGGUCCCCCCAACCCCCGGCCCCGCCCCGACAGCCCUGGCAGGAGGCUCUUACCGCAGCGGCUCACACGUUACAGAUAAGGAAACUCAGGCGCAGCUGAAGUCACCUGCCCCAGCAAAGGCCUGGGCCUGUGACAGCCAAGGUUGUACCCAGGUCUCCCCCGGCCUUGGCGCCCAUGAACAGGGUCACGUGGUGGUAAAAGAGACAGACAGCUUCAGGGCUCCCGAGGGGCCUGGCUCAGACCCGUCCUGGCCUCUAGGCCCAUGGAGGUAAGACGUCUCAGAGCCCCUCUCGGACCUGGACACUUUGCCCAGGGGGAGCCUCCAGGGAAGGUGGAGAAAGAGGCCCCACCAUGAGCCCCGUGCCCUCCUGAUUGAGGGACCCACCCUGCCAGGCUGCUGGGCCUCCGGCCUUUAUCCGACCCCACCCCCGGCACCUCCAGCCUUUCCCCUCGGGCCCCGCUGGCCGGCCUUGGCCUGUCUCUGGCCUCGGCCCGGGCGCCAGGCCUGCUCCUGGAACCUGGCCAAACCCCACCCCACAUGCGGCCUCUGCCCUGGUCAUGAGGGCAGGCCGGGAGCUCACAGGCCAGGCUUGCGCUGGGAUGGGUGCUCCCGGGGAUUGGCUCAGCCUGUAGGUGUGAGAGGCCUGCCUGCAAGUUUGAAAGGGUGAAGACACGGCCUGAAUCUUCCAAGGCAGAGUUCGGGAAAGGGCCUGUCCUGCUGCAGCUUUCCCAGGCCACUGGCUUCUGUACGCAUGCACGCGCGUGUGCACACACACACCCCCCCACACCCUAAAUAGCACCUUCUUUUCACACCUUGUUCCUGUCUUCCAGAGCCUGUGUCAAACCACCUCUCCUCAUCCUCUUUCAUCCUCACUUUUUCCAAAAGUUCUCAUGAAAGGAAGACCCGCCCCCGCCCCCUGCCACAUCCCCAUUUUUCAGACACAUACACUGAAGCCCAGAAAAAUAAAGCAACUUUGCUCAAAGUCUCAGGCAGCUGGUGUCAGAGUCUGAUGAAAUCCAGCUUUGUCUGACUCCACGGCCCACGCUUCUGGCCACUGAGGAGCUUUGUGACUUUGUGACACGUCUCAGCCUCCGUUUCCUCAACUAUAAAACGGAUAACAAAAAUGCCCAGUUGGUGAGGUUGGAGAGUGACUGACAGGAGGCAGGGAGCGUGCUCAGAAGAGCGCCUGGCCCAGGGGCCUCUCUAGUAAGGGGUAGACACCCCUUGUGUGCAUGUCACAGUCGUGGGCCCUGGAUGAGCCCUUUCCUGCUUGGGGGCACCGCCGUCAGUCGGCUUCCCAGCUGUUGCCCCCGCAUCUUUUGUCCCAGACUCUGUGUCCUCUUUCUUGCCUUCCCUCCACGGAUGGCUUUGUUUCCCUUCUGUUUUUAUUGCUUUUGUUUCCGCACGGUAAACCCUACAAGCCCCGGAGGUUUCUGGGCUGAUGGUUAUCAUUGCUGCAGGGGACAUGCCAGGCCACGAGAGCGGUGUCUUGGCAUCAGUUUUUCCCCCUGAAGCUUGUGCAUACAUUUACCCCAGCUAAUUUAAUAGCAUCCCCUGGACUGGCUUCUUGGGCAGCAAGACGGACUAUCCCAAGCGUGGCGCUCGUCUCUCCUCAAGUAAAAUGAAGGAAGUGUUUUGCCGCGAGAACCUGGGUUUCCCUGUCCAUUUACCGCUUAGAAGCUGUGUGACUCUGGACAACUUACUGAACAUCUCUGAGCUGCAUUGCCUUUUGGAAUGGGGACUGCAGGAGGAGAGGUACAGAAUCCGGUUCUCAGGGUUUUGAAGAGAGUUCAGUGACAGACCAGCAGGCAAUGCCUGGCAUUGUAGGUGCUCAAUAAAAUACUAAACCAGGGUCCAGUUGAACAGGUUCAACAGUUCAGCUAGGUGGGGGAACAGAAAAGGAAACAAAGCAAAGCCUUUCUUGGAUAAAUCCACCAGGAAGGACAGGGCCGGGGGCCAGGAGCUGAGGACCCAGCGCCACACUGCGUCCCAAGCCAGGCAGGCCCUUGGGAGACGGAAGAGGUUGAAGCCUGGGCAGCCGACCUCUCUACUUCCUGGUGCAACCCGCAGCUUUCCUUGAAGGCAGGGCCCAGCUUCCUUAUCGGUGGGCUCAGAGUCCACGGCUCCAGGGCCGGACGCCUGUGUGUGGGAGGCUGUGAGUGCUUAUCAGGCCUCUCCCUGGGUCAGACACCCAGACUUUGGCCGUGGUUGGGCUUGAACGUGGCAGCUGCUCCUUCCCCAGGGGGGAUACCCCAGUACAUUCCUCAACAUCCCUUCCCAGUUAAAAAACAGAAACCAAAAAAACAACCAAAAAAAAAAAAA
This 4081-nucleotide long non-coding RNA is filed under the name Sus scrofa (pig). RNAcentral's name for it is "lncRNA (ENSSSCG00035058759.1)". Lineage: Eukaryota; Metazoa; Chordata; Mammalia; Artiodactyla; Suidae. The record is from RNAcentral.